GACGAACGCUGGCGGCGUGCUUAACACAUGCAAGUCGAACGGAAAGGCUCCAGCUUGCUGGAGUACUCGAGUGGCGAAUGGGUGAGUAACACGUGGGUAAUCUGCCCUGCACUCUGGGAUAAGCCUGGGAAACUGGGUCUAAUACUGGAUAUGACCUUUCUCCUUAUGGGGUUUGGUGGAAAGUUUUUCGGUGUAGGAUGAGCCCGCGGCCUAUCAGCUUGUUGGUGGGGUGAUGGCCUACCAAGGCGACGACGGGUAGCCGGCCUGAGAGGGUGAUCGGCCACAUUGGGACUGAGAUACGGCCCAGACUCCUACGGGAGGCAGCAGUGGGGAAUAUUGCACAAUGGGCGGAAGCCUGAUGCAGCGACGCCGCGUGAGGGAUGACGGCCUUCGGGUUGUAAACCUCUUUCAGCAGGGACGAAGCGUAAGUGACGGUACCUGCAGAAGAAGCACCGGCUAACUAUGUG
This 467-nucleotide ribosomal RNA is filed under the name uncultured bacterium. RNAcentral describes it as "partial 16S ribosomal RNA". It matches the Rfam family "Bacterial small subunit ribosomal RNA", at positions 28 to 507 of the family's 1533-position model. The record is from RNAcentral.